Long non-coding RNA from Physeter macrocephalus (sperm whale), 600 nucleotides. RefSeq lists it as uncharacterized. The transcript is spliced from 3 exons. The record is from RefSeq and is a predicted model, not a curated record. Lineage: Eukaryota; Metazoa; Chordata; Mammalia; Artiodactyla; Physeteridae.
AGAGACAAAGAUGGUUGAUGUGAAGGAACUGAAAAUACAGUGGAUUGUUGCCAAGAGAAGGAGAAGCCAUGGGCUGUUCUGCUGGUCCCAGAGGUUUGGUUAGAUUGGUGAGAAAAACCAGGCCAAGCAGGGAAGAGGCUUGUUGGAGGCCAAACACCAAGCCGGUGGCAGGGGUGGAAACAGAAACGAUUUUCAGGUCUGUAAAAAAUGCCACUGGUGGGCCUCCUUGGUGGUGCAGUGGUUAAGAAUCUGCCGGCCAAUGCAGGAGACAUGGGUUCGAGCCCUGCUCUGGAAAGAUCCCACAUGCCGAGGAGCAACUAAGCCCGUGCACCACAACUACUGAGCCUGCGCCCUAGAGCCCACGAGCCACAACUACUGAGCUGACGCACCACAUCUACUGAAGCCCGUGCGCUCUAGAGACUGUGCUCAGCAACAAGAGAAGCCCACACACCACAACGAAGAGUAGCCCCUGCUCGCUGCAACUAGAGAAAGCCUGCGUGCAGCAACGAAGACCCAACACAGCCAAAAAUAAUAAAUAAAAAUAAAUUUAUUAAAAAAUACUAUACUAAUAUCAAUAAAAAUAAUAAUAUGUUUAAAAAA